This 317-nucleotide unclassified non-coding RNA is filed under the name Hevea brasiliensis (rubber tree). Lineage: Eukaryota; Viridiplantae; Streptophyta; Magnoliopsida; Malpighiales; Euphorbiaceae. The record is from RNAcentral.
UUCUGCCAGUGUAACUAAAGCCUGUCUGUCCAAAACAAAUUAAGAAUCUAAUAGUAGAAAUUAGAUGAUGUUAUACAAUAAAUGCAUGCAAACAGAUGCUUUAGCUUGAUGCCAAGAAUAGAACACUCAUGCAGAACAUGUGAAAACUACCCAAAAUUUAUAAAUAAGUUAGACAUACAGAUCAAGUUCACAAUCAACUGCAAUUUUUACGGGAAAGAAAACCUCAGAUUAAUUAUGUGGAAUAAGGUAGUUGAGAUAAUUAGCUAGAACAAGAAGCAAGAAUGUCAAAUGUGAUACAUUGUAGACAUGUGAAACAC